UUUCCCAGUCCUCUUUGUUGCGUAUUUUAACCCAGGUCCUUAGAUUUUCCGUAACUUAACGACACAGUUUAUUCAGUUCCCAGAUAAUGACAGCGAAUGGAGAGAGACCAAUUGUUUUUUUGUUUUUUUUUAAGAAAAACAUGUUUCCACAAUGUUCUGGAUACGAUCGAUUGCACUCAUGUGGCACUCGCACUGCCAAGGCAUAUGGAGGAAUGUUUUCGAAACCAAAAACUGUUCCAUUCAGAUGGUGUGUGAUGCCAAUAUGAAAAUCACCAAUCUCUGGCUGGGCUUUCCUGGCUGUUGGGUGAGUAUUGUUUUUUGUUUUUUUUAAACGUUUGUUUAACUCAUUUUUUGACUUAAUAUUUUAGGUAAUGGGGGUUAUUCUGACAAGAAUUGGCUUCUUACCCCAUUGUCCAAUCCCGAAAGUGAUGCUGAGAAAUUAUACCAAACAGUGCACAUUGCAUUGAGGGAGGUAAUUGAAAGGACCUUCGGUGUCCUCAAAACCCGCUUUCACUGACAGGUCCGGGGGUUCGCUGUUAUAUGCACCAGAAAAGGUUUGUGACAUAGUAAAAGCUUGCUGGAUUUUACAUAACAUCUGUGUUGCAAACCAAUUUCUGGAGUAUAUACUGUAGAUCCAGGUGUCUGGCCGGAUUUGGAAAUUUGCUCAGCACCGCCGGAGGGAAGGAAUGAAGGAGGGAGGGAAGGAAUGAAGGAGGAGAUGCACGCCGUUCAUUCAUCAAUGGAUUCUUCACUGGUGAGUAAAGUGAUUUUUUUUUUCUUUUUGGUCAAAAAAAUUAUAAUUUAUUUCUAUCCUUGCAGAAGAAUCCAGAUGAACUUGCCUAUGUUUGGGUCCUGUUGACUUUCCUUUCGUUGGUUGUUGUCCCAUAAAGCUGAUUUUUUUUUUUUUAUUGUACUAGUUGCUGAAUUAAAAAAAAAAAAUACAGUUAGUUACAGUUCUAACGUUUUUGCGCUACUCUACACACACAAGAUGGCCUUUCCAGACUCAAAACCAGACAUAUCAAUGAUAUUAGUUGACCAAGACACCCAUGCAGCAAGACCCACCUGGACUGAUGGCCUGUCCGUUUGCACCUAAAGCGGAUGCAGUUUGAGCAGAAUGUAUCCGCUACUUUACCAGUGGAAGGCAUUUCCCCUCUCCCUGUACGUGCCUAUACUGGACACCUGCCUGUGACCUGUGGAGCAAGAACCACCUGGACUGAUGGUCUCUCCAUUUGCAGCGGAAGCUGAUGCAGUUUGAGCAGGAUGUCAGCUUGGAAUGUAUGCACUUUUUGGCUGUCCUCCUGGAAGCCCUUCCCCGACCUGCAAAGCAACUAUUCUGGACACUGGCUGAAUGUUAAGAAAAGGCAUCCUGUCAACCCGUCCUACCUGGCUGCUAAUUACUCUGACUUUUCCAAAAGUUUAUCCUCCAGAACUUUCAAAAACAAUACCAAAAAAUGUAUGACAAAUUUGUAAAGCAUGUCAUAUUUAUUUAUACAUCUACUUUUUUCUAAAGUAUUUGCUUUCAAUAU
This is a long non-coding RNA of Pseudophryne corroboree (corroboree frog), 1526 nucleotides long. RefSeq lists it as uncharacterized. The record is from RefSeq and is a predicted model, not a curated record. The transcript has 4 exons. Lineage: Eukaryota; Metazoa; Chordata; Amphibia; Anura; Myobatrachidae.